RNAcentral lists this ribosomal RNA (741 nucleotides) under Candidatus Phytoplasma pruni. RNAcentral's name for it is "bacterial SSU rRNA". It matches the Rfam family "Bacterial small subunit ribosomal RNA", at positions 603 to 1353 of the family's 1533-position model. Lineage: Bacteria; Bacillati; Mycoplasmatota; Mollicutes; Acholeplasmatales; Acholeplasmataceae. The record is from RNAcentral.
CAGUGCUUAACGCUGUUGUGCUAUAGAAACUGUUUUACUAGAGUGAGAUAGAGGCAAGCGGAAUUCCAUGUGUAGCGGUAAAAUGCGUAAAUAUAUGGAGGAACACCAGAGGCGUAGGCGGCUUGCUGGGUCUUUACUGACGCUGAGGCACGAAAGCGUGGGGAGCAAACAGGAUUAGAUACCCUGGUAGUCCACGCCGUAAACGAUGAGUACUAAGUGUCGGGUAAAACUGGUACUGAAGUUAACACAUUAAGUACUCCGCCUGAGUAGUACGUACGCAAGUAUGAAACUUAAAGGAAUUGACGGGACUCCGCACAAGCGGUGGAUCAUGUUGUUUAAUUCGAAGAUACACGAAAAACCUUACCAGGUCUUGACAUUUUCUUGCGAAGUUAUAGAAAUAUAAUGGAGGUUAUCAGGAAAACAGGUGGUGCAUGGUUGUCGUCAGCUCGUGUCGUGAGAUGUUAGGUUAAGUCCUAAAACGAGCGCAACCCUUGUCGUUAAUUGCCAGCAUGUAAUGAUGGGGACUUUAACGAGACUGCCAAUGAAAAAUUGGAGGAAGGUGGGGAUUACGUCAAAUCAUCAUGCCCCUUAUGAUCUGGGCUACAAACGUGAUACAAUGGUUGAUACAAAGAGUAGCUGAAACGCGAGUUCUUAGCCAAUCUCAAAAAAACAAUCUCAGUUCGGAUUGAAGUCUGCAACUCGACUUCAUGAAGUUGGAAUCGCUAGUAAUCGCGAAUCAGC